Molecule: long non-coding RNA, 698 nt
Organism: Schistocerca piceifrons (Central American locust)
Lineage: Eukaryota; Metazoa; Arthropoda; Insecta; Orthoptera; Acrididae
Exons: 2
Source: RefSeq, a predicted model, not a curated record
UUCUCAUUAGUAUUCUGUACUACUUUCUUUAUCUUUUCGUCACAAUCUUUCACUAUGACCUCAACCUUAUGCACUGGUGUCAACCAGGAAGAAUGCAUUGCUGAUGAGGUCAUGUAUGUACAGUCUGCCAGAGGUAGUUGUUUAUUGUGUGAAUAUUGAUGUUGCUGCAGGUGCCCUGUUGAAUACCCAUGAGACGAUGCACCUAACUCAUCUCGUGAUGGAAGUUUUGAUGUAGGACUCAUGGUGGGUGACACUUCUGAGCCACAUCUCCAUGAUGGGCAUGGUACCAACACAGCAGGUAUACAGGGCGUGGCUGCAGACUGUGUGGGACAUCUGUAGUUGCAGCACCAGAAUUGGGUGAGGCAGAGAGGGGGCCUGGGUGAGGAGGCAUGGAGGGGGUGGCUGGUUUACUGCCAGGGCCACCCCGUAGCUCCUCAGCUGAGGCUGUUGACUGGAGUGACCUCGCAUGGCCUUGCUCAAAAGUACAUGAUGGGAUGUGUGCGGUAUUUGCCAACUGUCAGCGCAGAACACGGCAUUGUGAGCACAACAUAAGGAUGGAGUGACUGAGGCAACUUGCUGCUGUUGUGACAAUCUAGAAAUUGUACUGAAGAUAUUGUCAGUGAUUAUUCAGUAAACAAUUCCAUCUGAGCAAGUUAUAAUAUGGAGCAUGAACAAAAAUAAAACAGUGUUUGCAGUAA